RNAcentral lists this ribosomal RNA (255 nucleotides) under uncultured bacterium. Its description in RNAcentral is "partial 16S ribosomal RNA". It matches the Rfam family "Bacterial small subunit ribosomal RNA", at positions 524 to 776 of the family's 1533-position model. The record is from RNAcentral.
UACAGAGGGUGCGAGCGUUUGUCCGGAAUCACUGGGCGUAAAGGGCGCGUAGGUGGUGGCUUAAGCGUGCGGUGAAAGCUCGGGGCUCAACCCCGAGUCGGCCGUGCGAACUGGGCUCACUGGAGCAUAGUAGAGGCAGGUGGAAUUCCGGGUGUAGCGGUGAAAUGCGCAGAUAUCAGGAGGAACACCGGUGGCGAAGGCGGGUCUCUGGGCAGUAACUGACGCUGAGGAGCGAAAGCGUGGGGAGCGAACAGG